CANUAAGCGGAGGAAAAGAAACNAACAGNGAUUGCCCCAGUAACGGCGAGUGAAGCGGCAACAGCUCAAAUUUGAAAUCUGGCCCCCCGGGGCCCGAGUUGUAAUUUGCAGAGGAUGCUUUUGGCGAGGCGCCUUCCGAGUUCCCUGGAACGGGACGCCACAGAGGGUGAGAGCCCCGUCUGGUUGGAUGCCGAGCCUCUGUAAAGCUCCUUCGACGAGUCGAGUAGUUUGGGAAUGCUGCUCUAAAUGGGAGGUAUAUGUCUUCUAAAGCUAAAUAUUGGCCAGAGACCGAUAGCGCACAAGUAGAGUGAUCGAAAGAUGAAAAGCACUUUGAAAAGAGGGUUAAAAUAGUACGUGAAAUUGUUGAAAGGGAAGCGCUCAUGACCAGACUUGGGCCCGGUGAAUCAUCCAGCGUUCUCGCCGGUGCACUUUGCCGGGCUCAGGCCAGCAUCAGUUCGCCCUGGGGGAGAAAGGCUCUGGGAAUGUGGCUCCUCCGGGAGUGUUAUAGCCCUCUGCGCAAUGCCCUGGGGCGGACUGAGGUCCGCGCAUCUGCAAGGAUGCUGGCGUAAUGGUCAUCAGCGACCCGUCUUGAAACACGGACCAAGGAGUCGUCCUCGUAUGCGAGUGUUCGGGUGUGAAACCCCUACGCGUAAUGAAAGUGAACGCAGGUGAGAGCUUCGGCGCAUCAUCGACCGAUCCUGAUGUUCUCGGAUGGAUUUGAGUAGGAGCAUACGGGGCCGGACCCGAAAGAAGGUGAACUAUGCCUGUAUAGGGUGAAGCCAGAGGAAACUCUGGUGGAGGCUCGCAGCGGUUCUGACGUGCAAAUCGAUCGUCAAAUAUGGGCAUGGGGGCGAAAGACUAAUCGAACCUUCUAGUAGCUGGUUUCCGCCGAAGUUUCCCUCAGGAUAGCAGUGUCGAUCUCAGUUUUAUGAGGUAAAGCGAAUGAUUAAGGGACUCGGGGG
RNAcentral lists this ribosomal RNA (962 nucleotides) under Epichloe coenophiala. RNAcentral describes it as "LSU rRNA". It matches the Rfam family "Eukaryotic large subunit ribosomal RNA", at positions 44 to 1036 of the family's 3401-position model. The record is from RNAcentral. Lineage: Eukaryota; Fungi; Ascomycota; Sordariomycetes; Hypocreales; Clavicipitaceae.